This is a long non-coding RNA of Oncorhynchus tshawytscha (Chinook salmon), 1993 nucleotides long. Lineage: Eukaryota; Metazoa; Chordata; Actinopteri; Salmoniformes; Salmonidae. The record is from Ensembl.
AGCAGAUCAGCUCACAGAGCAACAAAUGUGGCCCACACCCAUUCAAGGGAGAGAGAGAGAAAAAAAAACACAUUGCGCAUAGGUCUCCAACUUAACACUCCUGUCAACUUAACAUCAUAACAGUUGCACAAAUUCAUCACGGAAAGGGAGUUGAAAGAAAACGUAUUGCUUGACUUGGACUUGUAUUGACUGUUCAUCAUGGAGGCACCAACAACAGCAGGUACAAUAAGCCACUCGGCAUCGGAAGAGGCCUUCAGCCACAUGGUCAGUCACAUCAUAGAACUCUUCACACAGCCCUCCGUAGCUGAAGAUCUGACAACAACUUCUGCACAUAUGACUGAAACAAUCUCAGACACUUCUGUGGGAGUUCUGAGAACAACUUCUGCACAAAUGAUUGAAACAAUCUCAGACACUUCUGUGGGAGUUCUGACAACAACUUCUGCACAUAUGACUGAAACAACCUCAGAUGCUUUUUUAGUGGGAGCCGCCAUCGUAAAAGGUGUAUCCUUUGAAGUCCUUUUCGUAGGAGUCAUUCUUGUGGUGGUACUGGUGGUGGUACUGGUACUGGUGCUGGUACUGUGUCACAACGGCAAGCAUAAGGGCACUUACCACACCAACGAGGCCGAGUGUGGUGAUUCUGAUUCUGUCGACACGUAUGGUGUUGCCUCUCAAAGCGAACUUGAGAUUUUGAAUGAGGAAGAAUAGAAAGAAGUACACUUCAUUUGAAACAGGACUUUUUCCGAUUCUAAACCGGGGCCAGUUGUCAACUCAAGAUGCCAAAUAUUUUCUACGGAAUUGGUAAUGCCUAUGAUGGUCAUCUAAUUUCAAGGCAACAUUUAUAUGGGGCAUACAACCAUCUCAGCUCUACAGAUUUUGCCACGAAGAGACAGAAUCGUUAGAUCACUUAUUUUUGUAUUGCCCAUAUAUACACUAUAUAUACAAAAUUAUGUGGACACCCAUUAGUGGAUUUGGCUAUUUCAGCCACAUUACAGCCUUAUUUCCCUCAUCAAUCAAUAUAAAGAAACACUUUAAUAAACAAUUAAUAUUCAUUACAUGUGACUAACUUCAAGCUUACAAUUAGUACAGUAGUUAAACCAAUAUCAGAUUGUUGAGGUUUCGAAAAGAUGUAAAAACUAGAGAAAUUUUACAAUCCUUUUUGUCUUCCUUUUAAAAAAAAUGUUUAUACUCAAAAGAUAGUACCUUGUUUGAAUUUCUAUUAUGAGGGUGUUGAGCGAGCUUAAUGCAUAAUAAUGUAUAGCAUUGCUGAAUGUAAUAUCUGUUUUCAAUUUUUUUCUAAAUUGACGUCCAGUAGUAAUCUGAGCUUGUAAAAUGAAAUCAAGGCACAGGCAUCUUUCCUAACGCCAAACUGGAUGUUUUGGUUUUUUUGGCCUGAAGGUACCAAUAACUGAGUAAAGGAAAUGUUACGGCAAGGACCAUAAGAACACACAAAAAUACUUUCAUGAAACUUGAGACAUUUCACCUAUGACAAUACUGGGAACAAAACAGUCAAAAAAAUGUAAAUUCCCCUUCUUCUAAUGCAAGUCUCUGUAACUAAUAUAUUACCAUGUGAUUAAAGAGAAGCGACCUUGUUUUGCCUGAUGAAAACAGUGUCUAAUUAGCAGUAAAACACUUGUUCCAGAGAGGAAGGACUUUUUGUAUCAACAAGGCAACAACAGGGAAGUUUCAAAAGGAAACUGAAGACAGCCGAAUCACACUGCCCCAGCUAGGUGGAAAGGCUUCCAUGUAGUUCAGAGAGGGCAUAUCAACAGGAACGGCCUGAUAAAUGCUCAAAGUAUUAACAUCCCAAAAUACUGUAUCUGUGACUAAAUGUGGUCCAGUUUCUGUUGACGAUAAUGCAUGUCUGUUGUUCUAUCAUGUGAAAGUCCCAUUCGAUUAGCGUUGCGUAUGUAUCAAGCUACACAUUUGAUAAAUUUGCACAGUCAUGGACUAAAUUGUUUUUUUUGUUUUUUCAAAUGAAGAGUUUACUUGUAUA